RNA transcript from Colossoma macropomum (tambaqui), 3470 nucleotides. It is a transcript of the gene named gastrula zinc finger protein XlCGF7.1-like, with no coding region annotated. The record is from RefSeq and is a predicted model, not a curated record. The transcript is spliced from 3 exons. Lineage: Eukaryota; Metazoa; Chordata; Actinopteri; Characiformes; Serrasalmidae.
UCCGUAAACAGACGCCAUGUUUGAGCGUUGCCAUCUUUCCCAUUCAUAUCUAAACCACUGACCGUCUACCCGCUUAUAACGCCUCCUCCGCUCGGACAGUGGUGGAGGAGCAGAGCCCAGAGCUGAAUUACUGAAGAAAUAAAGUUUUCACGUCUUCUCCCGCACUUCCCUACCCAUCUUAAAUGUGCUUCCGUAAACAUGUCGGAACAUUCUACCAAAGGGAUUAUUAAGCUGCUGAAACAGGUUAAGUAUAAGAAGAAACCAUCCAGAAGACGUUUUAGUACUCAGCAAACAUCAGCUGGAGACCCCCACGUGAACACAUCUGAUAUACAGACACAGGAACACAUCGAGGAGAGAACUCACUACUGUUUGGAGUGUGGGAAGAGUUUUACUCAUGAGAGUCAUCUCAUAUCACACCAGUGCAUUCACACCGAAGAGAAGCCAUAUCCAUGCUCAGAGUGCGGAAAGAGUUUUACUGAACAGAGUGAUCUUGUAUCACACCAGUGCAUUCGCAUAGUAGUUAAGCGGUAUCCGUGCUCAGAGUGUGGGAAGAGUUUUAAUCAUCCGAGUCAGCUCAAAAUACACCAGCGCAUUCACACAGGAGAGAAGCCGUAUCACUGCUUGGAGUGUGGAAAGAGUUUUACUCAUCAGAGUCAUCUCCAACAACACCAGCUCAUUCACACAGGAGAGAAGCCGUAUCACUGCUCAGACUGUGGGAAGAGUUUUAAUCAUCUGAGUAACCUCAAACAACACCAGCUCAUCCACACAGGAGAGAAGCCGUAUCACUGCUCGGAGUGUGGGAAGAGUUUCACUGUACAGAGUAACCUCCAACGACACCAGCUCAUUCACACAGGAGAGAAGCUGUAUCACUGCUCGGAGUGUGGGAAGAGUUUUACUGCACAGAGCAAUUUCCAACGACACCUGCUCAUUCACACAGGAGAGAAACCGUAUCACUGCUCAGAGUGUGGGAAGAGUUUUAAUCAUCAGGGUAAUCUCCAAGAGCACCAGCGCAUUCACACGGGAGAGAAGCCGUUUCACUGCUCAGAGUGUGGGAAGAGUUUCAGGCAUUCAAAAACUGUGAAGACACACAAGUGCACUAAGAGCAGUGAUGGAAAUGGGCAGUAAUGAGUGUACCCUUAACACAUACUGGGAGUAAAAGUCUCCAGGGAACAGUGCUUCCAGCUCAGAUUUCAAAAUGUUUCUAGGGAAAACCACCUAUUGCUGUUUUACUUUGUUUUAAAAACAAGAUCAUAAAAUGAAAUCUAUUUUUCUGAGCAGAACACAGUCAAGCCUACAGCUCAAACACCCGCUGAAAAGAGUGUUGUUGGGACUGUAAUAAAGGAGAUAUGACCCUGGAGACUGCAACAGCGAGGUUUAUUCUGUCUUGCAUUCAACUGAGCAGCUUUUAAAGAAGACAAAGGAAUAAGAAUGACUGCAAGACAUCAAGCUAUCCAGGGGGGGAACCAGUGACCUCUCCUCAGUAUGGCACAUGCAUUCCUGUUCUAAGCGAUGUUGCAUACAGUCCAGAUAACAACUCAUCCAUGGACUUUUUCUAUUACUGUUUUCAAACACUUUUAAGGACUGUUCAUGUUCUUUGUGAUGCUUGGAGAGUGAAUGUACCUUGAGAAAGGUGUUGUGACAUGAGAUAAGGACCUUUAUACCCAUCUCCAAUCUCCAAAGCAGUCUGAACUGGGUAUCUCAAUCAUUGUAGAUGUGUAUGAAAGGUGACCAGUUGGGAAGUUCAAGGUUUUGAGUCUCACUGAGAAUGACUCUUGUUGAUGUUGUUACGAUGUGCAUAAGACACUAUCUUUGUUGACUGAAUCUCAAUCCAGUGACACAGUUUUGUUCCUGAACCAAUCCAAGCCUACAUUAUAAUAGCUUCGAUUUGUAGUGAUGAAUCGAGAUGUGUAUGCAAUUCUGUAUGUAGAGUCUCAUUUUCACAUAUGCAUAAAGGUAUGACUACUGUGACAAAGUCUAUGUUAGGUGAGGAAGAGACCUGCAGGUACUCUCAACCUCCACCGUACUAUUUUAUUUUCUGUCUUGCUCACUUUCUGUCGCUUUCUAUCUAUCCAUCUACGUUAUAUGGAGAAAGGUUUUGGGACACCCACACAUUACACCUCCAGGAACUUUUAUGAUGCCCAUUGUAAAUUCUAAAUAGACAUUAAUAUGGAGUUGGUUCCCCUUUGCAGCUCUAACAGCUUCCAUUCUUCUGUGAAGCUUUCUACAAACUGUUGGAGAGAGUCUGUGGGAAUUUGUGUCCAUUCAUCCAGAAGAGCAUUUGUGAGGUCAGACACUGAUGGUGGACGAGAGGGCCUGGCUCACAAUCUCCAUUCUAGUUCAUUCUAGUGUUUGAUGGGGUUGAGGUCAAGGCUCUGUGAGGGCCAGUUAAGUUCUUCCACACCAAACUCACCCACCCAGUCAUCCUGGAAUUGAAAAGAGUUCCCCAAACUCUUCCACCUGUUGGAAGCGUACAAUUGUCCAAAAUUUCUUAGUAUGCUUUAUUUGAACUAAGGGGCAAACCCCUUAAAAACAACCCCAUAGCAUUAGUUAGGCAGGUAAAGUUCUCAUGGCCCAGAAUUGCCCAUCAGACAGCCAGAUAGUGAAGCGUGAUUCAUCACUCCACAGAAUGCGUUUCCACUGCUCCAGGGGCAGCGUGCUUUACAUCACUUAGUGUGGCUGAAACAUCUGAACUCAAUAAUUAGGAGGAGUGUCCCAAUACUUUUGUCUAUAUAUUUAUGUCUCUCUCCCUCUUGCUCUCUCCCCCCUCUUAGUUUUAGGUGCCUGAUUUCUCUCUUACAGCAUGUGUCUUAGUGAAGCCUUUGCGUCUGAGCUUGUGUUUUUGUGAAUGUAAAGCUGUUUAGAUUAUUUUUCUACACUUUCUCAAUAUUUAUUCUUUAAGUAAUAUUUAUGUUUCUGUAAACCUGUUUUUCUUUUGAAAGUCAGUGUGUGGUUUUUAGUUUUUAGGGUAUUUCACAUAGAAUGGGUGUUUUUUAGUUCUGAACUUUGAUCUUAGUCAUGCUGUGGUAAAUUGCCCAGCAUUAGCCAAGCUCUACUUUGCAGUUCAUUUUGGUGAAGACUGCACCUGGCACAGUCACCCAUGACACUGUGUUCAGUUAUGUUCCUGAACCAGUCUGCAUUGUAAUAGUUUUGAUUUCUAACGGUAAUUGUAUUGUAUAUGUAGAUUGUCUAAUUUACAUAUAAUGUGCAUAAGAUAUAAUUACUUUGACCAAGUCUGUGUUAAGUGAAGAAGACACCAUUCAGAGUGCUCUCAACCCCCACCACACUUUCUCUCUCUUCUUCUUAUUUUCAGCCUGGUAUUUUCUUUCUUUAGGCUUUUGUUUAGUCAAGUCCUUGCUUUUGAGGUAAUGUAUGAUGUCAUAUGUGUUAAAUAGUUGAGAUUAUUUGUUUCAUUUUUCUCCAUUUAUAUCAUUUUAAUCAUAUUCCUUUUUAUUUUUCCUGUAAAUGUGUAA